GGAGCCACCUGAACUCCCCACACCUGCACCCCCUGAACCAAACAGGAACUGCCCCAGACUCCCACAGGAGAUGAAAGUCAGACCAGACAUAGUGCUCACAGCACUGAAAACUAUUAGAGGGUUACCCAGGCUGUCUCUCUCUCUCACACACUCAUCUAAAAAUGGAUCAUACUUUAACAAAUUAAAACGUUGGCUCCCAGCACAUCCUCAUAAAGAGCUUUCCUUGCAGUGUCUGCCAGCCUACCCACACUUAGCUAUAAAAAGAGAUGAACUAAACAUACCCACAAACUUUUAAAUACUUACUGAAAAGAGGCAAAAGAAAAAAUUCCUACCUGUGUUGAGCUUGGUUCAAGAGGAAACUACCUACUACAGAAUUUCUUUGUUCUGCAGCUUGUCACCAUCUCCACCCACAAUCCAUGACAGAAAACAGGAGAAAUGAAAGUAACUCAAAAGCUUACCAUUGGUGGCAGCACUGUGAAUUGAUUUUGCAAUGCAAUACAUUUUCUUUUUUUU
This is a long non-coding RNA of Mauremys reevesii (Reeves's turtle), 513 nucleotides long. RefSeq lists it as uncharacterized. The transcript is spliced from 3 exons. The record is from RefSeq and is a predicted model, not a curated record. NCBI's taxonomy places the organism in Eukaryota, Metazoa, Chordata, Testudines, Geoemydidae.